GCGUGGAUAAGACAUGCAAGUCGAACGGGAUAAUCUUGUAGCAAUACCGGGUUGUUCAGUGGCGAACGGGUGCGUAACACGUGGAUUACAUACCGGAAAGCGAGGAAUAGCCCAGGGAAACUUGGAUUAAUACCUCAUGUGGUCGCAAGACUAAAGGCGGGGCAACCUGUCGCUUUCUGAUUGGUCCGCGGCCUAUCAGCUAGUUGGCGGGGUAACGGCCCACCAAGGCGACGACGGGUAGCUGGUCUGAGAGGAUGACCAGCCACACUGGAACUGAGACACGGUCCAGACACCUACGGGUGGCAGCAGUCGAGAAUCAUUCACAAUGGGGGCAACCCUGAUGGUGCGACGCCGCGUGGAGGAUAAGGUCUUCGGAUUGUAAACUCCUGUCAUGCGAGAGCAAGAUUUGAGCGGGUAACUCCGCUGGAUUUGAUAGUAUCGCAAGAGGAAGAGACGGCUAACUCUGUGCCAGCAGCCGCGGUAAUACAGAGGUCUCAAGCGUUGUUCGGAAUCACUGGGCGUAAAGGGUGCGUAGGUGGCGUGGAAAGUCAGAUGUGAAAUCCGGGGGCUCAACCUCCGAAUAGCAUCCGAUACUCCCAUGCUAGAGAACUGGAGGGGGAUCUGGAAUUCUCGGUGUAGCAGUGAAAUGCGUAGAUAUCGAGAGGAACACUAGUGGCGAAGGCGAGAUCCUGGACAGUGUCUGACACUGAUGCACGAAGGUCAGGGGAGCAAACGGGAUUAGAUACCCCGGUAGUCCUGACAGUAAACGGUGCACGUUUGGUGUGGGAGGAUUCGACCCCUUCUGUGCCGGAGCUAACGCGUUAAACGUGCCGCCUGGGAAGUACGGUCGCAAGAUUAAAAC
This 862-nucleotide ribosomal RNA is filed under the name uncultured bacterium. Its description in RNAcentral is "bacterial SSU rRNA". It matches the Rfam family "Bacterial small subunit ribosomal RNA", at positions 42 to 900 of the family's 1533-position model. The record is from RNAcentral.